This 600-nucleotide ribosomal RNA is filed under the name uncultured bacterium. Its description in RNAcentral is "bacterial SSU rRNA". It matches the Rfam family "Bacterial small subunit ribosomal RNA", at positions 75 to 651 of the family's 1533-position model. The record is from RNAcentral.
AUCUUUCGGGAUGAAGACAGGAUCCGGGUGUGGCGGACGGGUGAGUAACGCGUGGAGAACCUGUCUUCCAGUCCGGGAUAACCUGGCGAAAGCCGGACUAAUCCCGGAUAGACUAAUAGCUGAGCAUUCAGCUAUCAGGAAAGGUGGUGUAAGCCAUCGCUGGGAGGUGGCUCCGCGUCGGAUUAGCUAGCUGGUGAGGUAACGGCUCACCAGGGCGACGAUCCGUAGCUGGUCUGAGAGGACGAUCAGCCACACUGGGACUGAGACACGGCCCAGACUCCUACGGGAGGCAGCAGUGGGGAAUCUUCCGCAAUGGGCGAAAGCCUGACGGAGCAACGCCGCGUGAGUGAAGAAGGCCUUCGGGUCGUAAAGCUCUGUCCUCAGGGAAGAAACCUUAAGGGAGGCAAUGCCCUUAAGCUGACGGUACCUGAGGAGGAAGCCCUGGCUAACUACGUGCCAGCAGCCGCGGUAAUACGUAGAGGGCAAGCGUUGUCCGGAAUUACUGGGCGUAAAGGGUACGCAGGUGGAUUACUAAGUCAAAUGUGAAAUACACCGGCUCAACCGGUGAGGUGCAUUUGAAACUGAUAAUCUUGAGUGCAG